This is a long non-coding RNA of Mytilus trossulus (common blue mussel), 930 nucleotides long. RefSeq lists it as uncharacterized. The transcript has 2 exons. NCBI's taxonomy places the organism in Eukaryota, Metazoa, Mollusca, Bivalvia, Mytilida, Mytilidae. The record is from RefSeq and is a predicted model, not a curated record.
GUUCAUUCAUUUAGUAAACACAUGAAACACGUUUUUACAAGGAACCGCACACAACUUACAAUACAUUAUAAACAUUUAGGCAAAAACAUGCAUCUUUUUUCAUUGGUCGUCAUAUUUGUUUACUAUCUGAAGACAACAACGGCCAGAUUUAUUGAAUCUAAGAACGAAGUAUAUUCUACCAAUUCGUUUACUCAGGAAAGAGUUGUUCAAGAUCCGGCAAUCCGUAUACUAAUCAACACGAACGACAGACGUUCAUCUCCAUACAUUACACUACGAAGACGAACAAAUACCAACUUUAGAUUGAGGAUAAGCAAAGAUGUGAUGAACAAUAACGGUCCAUUAAGAAUUGUAUACAGAUCAAGAAACAUUGCUGCAACAGACUCAGCAAGAAGGUUUAAUUCUAUUUCACGAAAUAUACGGAACACUGAAAACAAUGCAAUUCAAACAUUUUAUAGAACCCUCGUACGGCCGGCUAAUAUCCGAAUUUCGACAAGAGGAUUAAAGAACAUGCGUAUCCGAACAUAACACAAUGUAGAGUUGCAGUCAGAACAUCAGUGCUAGAUACAUGUACAUUCAGAUGAACAGGAAUAAUAACAUUAAAGGUACCAUGAUUUCUUCAACAGAUGUUCAGUUCGACAAUAAAUGUCUCCGGUAAUACUCAAACUUUAAGCCAGAAUAUAUGAAAAUCCAUUGCGUUUAAAAUGAAAAUAAAGAACUUAUAAAGCUAAAAGGACAACCAUUUUAGCCAAAUCUGGGCAUGUAAUCACAGCUCUGUGCGAGGAAGAUAUAUUUCUUAAUUUAAAGAUUAAGGAUGGAAAUCCAAAUUAUAUAUGUAAAGAAAUAUAGUGCUAUGAAUUUAUUUGUGUCAUACAGGCAUGACAUUUAUUCUUUUAAUAUAUUCAUUAAAUAAAAGAUAUUUUACAUAUAAAA